UGUAUUUUCUAUCAUAUAUGGAUACCUCACUUUGCAUAUAUAGUAGAUCUAUUGUAUGAAUUAUUAUAGAAUAGAUAUUAAUUCAUUUCUGAAAGAUAUUGAUAAAAUAUAUUAAUAGUCCAUAUAAUAGGAAAUUCAGGAGGACGGAUGAGUGAUUUAAUUCUUAAAAGCGAUUAAUUACAGAAUUACGGUUAGAAUCUAGAGAAUCAGGGAAAAGUAUAUAGGAGUUGUAAAAAUUAAUUAGGGUGCCAUCACUGUGAUAGUGUGAGCCGGGGUAAGCUUGGUGCUACCUCUUUUCUUUUGUUUGUUAUUUUCUUUGAAUAAGAGGAUUGAGAGUUUUUGAAUAUUGUAAAGUGAAUUAUAGAAUGGAAAUGUGAUUAGUAUUAAUUGAGAAGAAGAAAGAUUAAAUGCUGAAAUCUGAUUGUAAUUCAGCAGAGA
RNAcentral lists this long non-coding RNA (438 nucleotides) under Physcomitrium patens. RNAcentral's name for it is "long non-coding RNA (PPAT_LNC010070)". The record is from RNAcentral. Lineage: Eukaryota; Viridiplantae; Streptophyta; Bryopsida; Funariales; Funariaceae.